Molecule: long non-coding RNA, 1752 nt
Filed under: Amphibalanus amphitrite
Lineage: Eukaryota; Metazoa; Arthropoda; Thecostraca; Balanomorpha; Balanidae
Description: uncharacterized LOC122390288
Source: RNAcentral
UGUUCGUUGACCAUGUUGCUGCUGGCGACAUCCAGAUCCUCUGGCAUCACCACGGCGCUGUUCCAGUUCUAAUGACGUCAUCGUGAACAGUUCUGGGAUAUAACGCACCACUUCUCACUUCGUCAAUGUUAGACGCCGCUGGUGGUCCGUCUGAGAGAGAGAGAGAGAGAGGAAACAAACAACGCCUCAGCUGGUUUAUUGGACUUUCGGGGUGGCUUAGAGAGAGUGGAAGGAGAAGGAGACAGGGGAACAUUGACCGAAUGAGUCUCUAGUCUUCAUUCAAGACGCGGUAGUGUGUUCAAUGGAGGACUCAAAGAACCGCAGGAGUGACUAUGAGGUGAGUUCUUUUUCGGUACAUUUGGGAAGAGUCUCCUGGUCUAUCGGUUUUCAUGGUUAAAUAAAUUCAGUGUCAAUUGUUACCUCACAGCUGUAGAGUUACAGGUUCAUUGAAUCGUUUCCCCGACCUCAGUACCGCUGCAACGUAUAUUUGGGGAAUCAAGCGCGAACUGUCGAGUGUCGACCCCAUUGGAGUUGAACCGUCAUGUUUGCCCGCUGUAACAUUUCUCCCGUCUGUGUGAUUUGUAAGGUUCAAAUGACUCAGACUGUGAGCUGACGAGCCGCCUUACCAGAAGGAAACCACCCGAUCGUCGUCACUCUGCAGUGUCCGCCAGAGAGCUGCUCCUGAGAGCUGCAGUAUCCGCCAGAGAGCUGCUGCUCCUGAGAGCUGCAGUGUCCGCCAGAGAGCUGCUGCUCCUGAGAGCUGCAGUGUCCGCCAGAGAGCUGCUCCUGAGGGCUGAGAGCAGCUGCAGUAUCCGCCAGAGAGCUGCAGUAUCCGCCAGAGAGCUGCUGCUCCUGAGAGCUGCAGUGUCCGCCAGAGAGCUGCUCUUUAGAGCGGAGUCCCGCGAUUGCGCCUCUCCUGGUUCCGCAGGCGGAGGUGGCGCCCCUUCUGGUCCAGUCCGGAGUGCGGAUCGACCUACAGAACAAGGCGGAGCGCUCGCCGCUGCAGAUGGCGCCACCGGGGCUGGCCAGCGCCCUCCAGCCGCCCUCGGUGGAGCUCACCGCCGCGCUGGCGCAGACAUAGAUGGCAGCACCGUUAACUUAUGGCCGGCGCCAAAGCACUUGAACCGUCUGGCGGCGUUUUAUGAAUUUACAGCCAGAUUUACCAACAGAAGUGUACGCCUAACCAAGGCUCUAUAGAACGCCUUACCUAGGCUCUUCCCUGCGGUUCCGAACACUGCGUACCUAAAGGUGUCUCUAUUGAUCUUAUCAGCCGGGUGACGAGUUAUUUGCGGACAACUAAUAAUUCCGUGGCGCUUUGUGGGAUAAAUAAGGACAUCGACAUAAAGUUGAUGUUUUUAUGACUGUAAGAGCAGCAAUGGCAGUGACAGUGACAGUGAUGAUUGUAAAGGGAUGGAAGAUUGAUACGGUAACCCUCGUUAGAGCCACUAUAGUCAUACUGGCUCAUCACUGAUGUUUUAAAAUGGAUGGAUGAGAGUCGUGCAUUAUGCAUUGUGCAGUGCGUUGAGAACAAUCAUCGGUGAGUUAUGAGCUGUGAGUUAUCUUUUGGAGCUGGGAGACUGCGUCAGUGACGUUCCAUUGUGCGAUUUGUCAGAACUCAGAGUGUCAUGAAUUAAGAGGCAGUGGGAGGAGAGAGGAGAGAGAAAGAGAGAGAGAGAGAGAGAGAGAGAGAGAGAGAGAGAGAGAGAGAGAGAGAGAGAAAGAGAGAGAGAGAGAGAGAGAGAGAGAGAGAGA